GUGCUUGCUUUGGUAGCACAUUUACUAAAAUUGGAACGAGACAGAGAAGAUUAGCAUGGCCCCUGCACAAGGAUGACACGCAAAUUCGUGAAGCGUUCCAUAUUUUU
Suricata suricatta (meerkat) is the source of this 107-nucleotide small nuclear RNA. The record is from Ensembl. NCBI's taxonomy places the organism in Eukaryota, Metazoa, Chordata, Mammalia, Carnivora, Herpestidae.